Molecule: long non-coding RNA, 243 nt
Filed under: Oryza sativa Indica Group (long-grained rice)
Lineage: Eukaryota; Viridiplantae; Streptophyta; Magnoliopsida; Poales; Poaceae
Also listed under: 3 other names
Description: lncRNA OsMH63_12G010800
Source: RNAcentral
CGAAGUGUCGCUCCUCGCACCCCACGCCUCAACGCGUAUAGUUGUUGGAGGCUCACUACUCCCUCGACCUCCACAGCACGCCGCACACUAGUCCUUGAGCUAUAUGCGACCCUAGCCGCUCUGUCGUCACUCACGGCUGCAGAACCGUACAGCAAGUUCGACUAUCGAAUCCAAGGAACUGACAUGGACCCAGAUGGCUACGCUGAAGCCGCGGGAAAUCUUGAGGCGCAAGGCAAGACAUAA